AACGCGAAUGGCUGUAAAAUGUGGGCACAAUAUUUAAUUUCUCGCCUUUUUAAAGCUUAAUAGUGGAUAAUAGGGGGCAGUAUCAAGGGAUAAUUUGGGUCCCCACAGUACCAAAGCAUUUAGAAACCUCUGUUUAAUUUAAGGAAUGAGAUAAAUUACUGCUUUUCUAGACUUCCUAGCAUGGGCUGUUGUGCUGGAGAGAACGAGAGCUACGAAGAGACUACAAUGCCUCUGACUUUUUCAUAGGACAGUUGGCCGAGGAAGACAAACAUAAAGAUGAAGUGCUUAAUUCAAGGUCACACAAUGUCGGGGAUGGACCUCCAGAUUUCCUUACUGACCUGCAUUAUCUUGUGGAUACCUGAGUGAAUUCCACACCACCCAUUUUAUAGAUGAAACCACUGAGACAUGGAGCAACUGACUGAGUAGUCACUGCCCCACCCCUGCCUGGAGCCUCACACAUGACUCGUCUCCUCUCAGUGACCACAGGUGAGACGUGGUCUUGUAACACAGUGGUUAAGAAUGUGACUUUGGAGCCAGCCUGCUAGGGGCUGAAUUCUGACUCAGCCAUUUACUAACUGUGUGACCUUAGGCUGGAGUGCAAUGGCAUGAUCUCGGCUCACCACAAUCUCUGCUUCCUGGGUUCAAGCGAUUCUCCUGCCUCAGCCUCCCAAGUACCUGGGACUACAGGCACUCGCCAC
This 698-nucleotide non-coding RNA is filed under the name Pan troglodytes (chimpanzee). Lineage: Eukaryota; Metazoa; Chordata; Mammalia; Primates; Hominidae. The record is from RNAcentral.